AAAUUGAAGAGUUUGAUCAUGGCUCAGAUUGAACGCUGGCGGCAGGCCUAACACAUGCAAGUCGAACGGUAACAGGAAGCAGCUUGCUGCUUCGCUGACGAGUGGCGGACGGGUGAGUAAUGUCUGGGAAACUGCCCGAUGGAGGGGGAUAACUACUGGAAACGGUGGCUAAUACCGCAUAACGUCGCAAGACCAAAGAGGGGGACCUUCGGGCCUCUUGCCAUCGGAUGUGCCCAGAUGGGAUUAGCUGGUAGGUGGGGUAACGGCUCACCUAGGCGACGAUCCCUAGCUGGUCUGAGAGGAUGACCAGCCACACUGGAACUGAGACACGGUCCAG
Molecule: ribosomal RNA, 337 nt
Filed under: Salmonella enterica
Lineage: Bacteria; Pseudomonadati; Pseudomonadota; Gammaproteobacteria; Enterobacterales; Enterobacteriaceae
Also listed under: 2 other names
Description: bacterial SSU rRNA
Rfam family: Bacterial small subunit ribosomal RNA
Source: RNAcentral